GAUGAAGAACGCAGCGAAAUGCGAUAAGUAGUGUGAAUUGCAAUUCAGUGAAUCAUCGAAUCUUUGAACGCACAUUGCGGCCAUAGGUAUUCCUUUGGCCAUGCCUGUUCGAGCGUCAUUUACACCCUCAAGCCUAGCUUGGUGUUGGGCGCCUGUCCCGCCGUUUUCGCGCGCGGACUCGCCUCAAAGUCAUUGGCGGCGGUCGUGCCGGCCCCCUCGCGCAGCACAUUUGCGCUUCUCGGAGGCCCGGCGGAUCCGCGCUCCAGCAAGACCUUUCACGACUUGACCUCGGAUCAGGUAGGGAUACCCGCUGAACUUAAGCAUAUCAAUAAGCGGAGGA
RNAcentral lists this unclassified non-coding RNA (340 nucleotides) under soil metagenome. RNAcentral describes it as "partial contains 5.8S ribosomal RNA, internal transcribed spacer 2, and large subunit ribosomal RNA". The stretch from base 1 to 118 matches the Rfam family "5.8S ribosomal RNA", at positions 35 to 154 of the family's 154-position model. The record is from RNAcentral.